Molecule: ribosomal RNA, 253 nt
Filed under: uncultured prokaryote
Description: partial 16S ribosomal RNA
Rfam family: Bacterial small subunit ribosomal RNA
Source: RNAcentral
ACGUAGGCAGCGAGCGUUGUUCGGAGUUACUGGGCGUAAAGAGUGCGUAGGCGGUUUUCUAAGUUUGGUGUGAAAUCUCCCGGCUUAACUGGGAGGGUGCGCCGAAAACUGGAAGGCUUGAGUAUGGGAGAGGGUAGCGGAAUUCACGGUGUAGCAGUGAGAUGCGUAGAUAUCGUGAGGAACACCAGAGGCGAAGGCGGCUACCUGGACAAUUGCUGACGCUCAGGCACGAAAGCGUGGGGAGCAAAAGGGA